This 1310-nucleotide ribosomal RNA is filed under the name Sceptuchus simplex. RNAcentral's name for it is "16S ribosomal RNA". The stretch from base 849 to 1240 matches the Rfam family "Bacterial large subunit ribosomal RNA", at positions 2049 to 2651 of the family's 2925-position model. Lineage: Eukaryota; Metazoa; Arthropoda; Insecta; Mantodea; Nanomantidae. The record is from RNAcentral.
UAUUGAUAUAAUUGCUUUUAGUUAUUUUUAUUUGGAAGGUUUAAAUUAAGUAAUAUUUAGUCGUUGUAUAUUUUAUAAAUAGGAUUUAUAAGGCUAUAGUGGAAUAGUAUUGUGAGAGAAGUUUGAGUUAAAAUAUAUAAUUAAUUUAAGUAAAUUUUAUUAAUUGUAUCUUGUGUAUCAGAGUGUAUUAAGUUGAAUUAUUUAAUUUAUUUAUCUCGAAUUUAAAAGAUUUAAUUGGAUAUAUUAGUUAUUGUGGCAUAAAUAUUAAUAAUAUUUAAUUGGUAAUGAGACGUUAUUCGUUUUUAAGGAUAUCUAGUUGUUUAAUAAAUGAAUUUAAUUCAGAAAACAAUAAUUAUUUUUAUCAUUAGGUGUAAAAAUAUUUAUUGUUUUUAAUUUUUGAAGGGAUAAUCUUUUGAAAAAAUUUUUAUAAUGCGGAUGUAUUUGAUAGAGAAUUUUAUAAAUUUAGAAUUUGUUAUUAAUUAAAGGAUGUUAAAAUUUAAUUCUUUAUUUGGGAAAUUUUUGGUUUUGUUUAAAAUUUUUAUUAAACUGUUUGAGGGAAUUUAAUAUUUUUAGUAAAUAUGAUUUAAUUAGUAAAUGUAAAUGUAUAGAAAAAUAAAAUGAUAAAUUAGUAUAAAGAAUUAGGCAAAUAUUUUGCUCGCCUGUUUAUUAAAAACAUGGUCUCUUUGUUUAUUUAGGAGAUUUAACCUGCCCACUGAAAUAUUUUUGAAGGGCCGCAGUAUUUUGACUGUGCAAAGGUAGCAUAAUCAUUAGUCUUUUAAUUAAGGGCUGGUAUGAAUGGUUGGACGAGGUAAGUUCUGUUUUAUAUUAAUUGUAAUCGAAUUUAAAUUUUAAGUAAAAAUGCUUAAAUUAGGUUAAGGGACGAGAAGACCCUAUAGAGUUUAAUAUAUAAAGUUUUAAUUGAGUUAAAAAGUAAUUUUUGGUUAAUUAUGUAAUGUAUUUAAUUGGGGUGAUUAGAAGAUAAAGAAAACUCUUUUUUGAAGUUAAUAUUAUUGGUAGUUAGAUGAUCCAUGAGUGAUGAUUAAAAGAUUAAAUUACCUUAGGGAUAACAGCGUAAUUCUUUUUGAGAGUUCAUAUCGAAAAAGGAGAUUGUGACCUCGAUGUUGGAUUAAGAUAAAUUUUGGGUGUAGAUGUUUAAAAAUUAGGUCUGUUCGACCUUUAAAUUCUUACAUGAUCUGAGUUUAAACCGGCGUGAGCCAGGUUGGUUUCUAUCUUUAAUUUUAUUUAAUACUUUAGUACGAGAGGACCAAGUAUUAGAAAUAAUUUUUAUUAAUUUGAAUACUAUUAAAUUG